This 301-nucleotide ribosomal RNA is filed under the name uncultured bacterium. Its description in RNAcentral is "partial 16S ribosomal RNA". It matches the Rfam family "Bacterial small subunit ribosomal RNA", at positions 509 to 807 of the family's 1533-position model. The record is from RNAcentral.
CAGCCGCCGCGGGAAUACGGAGGGUGCAAGCGUUAAUCGGAAUUACUGGGCGUAAAGCGUGCGUAGGCGGUUCGUUAAGUCUGUUGUGAAAGCCCCGGGCUCAACCUGGGAAUGGCAAUGGAUACUGGCGAGCUAGAGUGUGUCAGAGGAUGGUGGAAUUCCCGGUGUAGCGGUGAAAUGCGUAGAGAUCGGGAGGAACAUCAGUGGCGAAGGCGGCCAUCUGGGACAACACUGACGCUGAGGCACGAAAGCGUGGGGAGCAAACAGGAUUAGAUACCCCGGUAGUCCCUGUCUCUUAUAC